RNAcentral lists this ribosomal RNA (400 nucleotides) under uncultured bacterium. RNAcentral's name for it is "bacterial SSU rRNA". It matches the Rfam family "Bacterial small subunit ribosomal RNA", at positions 356 to 773 of the family's 1533-position model. The record is from RNAcentral.
GGGGAAUAUUGGACAAUGGGGGCAACCCUGAUCCAGCCAUGCCGCGUGAAUGAUGAAGGCCUUCGGGUUGUAAAGUUCUUUUGGUGGGGACGAUGAUGACGGUACCCACAGAAUAAGCUCCGGCUAACUUCGUGCCAGCAGCCGCGGUAAUACGAAGGGGGCUAGCGUUGUUCGGAAUUACUGGGCGUAAAGGGCGCGUAGGCGGUUUUAUAAGUUGGGUGUGAAAGCCCAGGGCUCAACCCUGGAACUGCACUCAAAACUAUUUUACUUGAAUUCGGUAGAGGAUGGUGGAAUUCCCAGUGUAGAGGUGAAAUUCGUAGAUAUUGGGAAGAAUAUCCGUGGCGAAGGCGGCCAUCUGGACCGACAUUGACGCUGAGGCGCGAAAGCGUGGGGAUCAAAC